Molecule: ribosomal RNA, 253 nt
Filed under: uncultured bacterium
Lineage: Bacteria
Description: partial 16S ribosomal RNA
Rfam family: Archaeal small subunit ribosomal RNA
Source: RNAcentral
UACCAGCACCCCGAGUGGUCGGGACGUUUAUUGGGCCUAAAGCAUCCGUAGCCGGUUCUACAAGUCUUCCGUUAAAUCCAGCUGCUUAACAGAUGGGCUGCGGAAGAUACUAUGGAGCUAGGAGGCGGGAGAGGCAAGCGGUACCCGAUGGGUAGGGGUAAAAUCCGUUGAUCCAUUGAAGACCACCAGUGGCGAAGGCGGCUUGCCAGAACGCGCUCGACGGUGAGGGAUGAAAGCUGGGGGAGCAAACCGG